GCGAGGUGCCAGACCCUACCUCCUCCGCCGCUGAGUGGCAGCCGGCUCGGGCCAAUCGCGAGGAGACUCCGCUCCCCGGCGGCUCUCCAGCCAAUGGGCGAAAUUGUGGCAAUCCUCACAGCAGAGUUUAAGACUGUCACUCCACUGACCUAGAAAUUUGGCAAGAACUUCUUAGGACUGAGUAUUGACUCUGCUGUUCACUCUGGAUAACAGCUGUUCUCACUGAAUUGGUUGUUUUGGUGUCAUCCUUCUCUGCACAAGGAUUUGUUUGCUAUCUGUUUUCCUCUGGAGGCAGGAUCUUGCUCACGACACUCCAAGAAGUUUUCAUUUUUUGGAUACAUCCUCCUAUUUAGAAUUUUCAUACAAGUGAGAUUGCUCUGUCUCUACUAGUUUUACAUAUGAAAAGAAAAUAAAGGAGAAGACAAAUUUGCCUCGGUUAGUUUCUCUUCCAUCGCAAUUCACUGCUGAGUACUAUAGCAAGCCAACAACAAAGAUCAGCAAUAUCAAGACUUUAUGACCAGGAAGUGAAAUGAAAUGGGCUUAGCUCCUGACUUGGCUUGAUCAUCGUGCAGAUGAUGGGGAUAUGGGAGAAUAAGAAACUUCUUUACCUGACUGUGCAUGGACUACCUCAACACCAGGCUCUGUCGUGCAGGAGUGCCAUGAUUUGGAGUAAAUUCUGUCCCAAAGAGUUAAAGGAGCAUAAGGCCGCACUAUGAAAAGGAAUUGGUGGAAAAGUAAUAUUGAG
Long non-coding RNA from Grus americana (Whooping crane), 745 nucleotides. RefSeq lists it as uncharacterized. The record is from RefSeq and is a predicted model, not a curated record. NCBI's taxonomy places the organism in Eukaryota, Metazoa, Chordata, Aves, Gruiformes, Gruidae. The transcript is spliced from 5 exons.